RNAcentral lists this ribosomal RNA (780 nucleotides) under Caloplaca cf. albopustulata CBFS JV7128. RNAcentral describes it as "eukaryotic LSU rRNA". The stretch from base 432 to 585 matches the Rfam family "5.8S ribosomal RNA". The record is from RNAcentral. Lineage: Eukaryota; Fungi; Ascomycota; Lecanoromycetes; Teloschistales; Teloschistaceae.
UGGUUCGCCUACCGGUGCCCCGCAGCGACUCUAAACAAGUGCCCAGUCGGCGACUCGCUCGCUGGCAACGCCACCAAUCUGCGCUGGGAGCGCCCGAACGCGGGCGUGACCAGCAGCUCCUCCGGGAGUUCACAGGUCAAACGGUUGCGGCCACCCCCGGGGGUGGUUUUGAUAUGAUCGGCCCCAGCCGUCCCCCACGGCCGGCGAAAUUUGCGGAACCUGCGGAAGGAUCAUUACCGAGAGGGGGGCUCACGCGCCCCAGGGGUUCCGCCCCGCACCUUUCUAUCCUUUGUGUAUCUUCCACUGUUGCUUUGGCGGGCCCCGGGGUUCACGUCCCGGCGCUGGCCCCUACGCAGGGUCUGCGAGUGCCCGCCGAAGGCCCAUCAAAAUUCUGUUUAUUAGUGCGGUCUGAGUAUACGAAAACUAAUCAAAACUUUCAACAACGGAUCUCUUGGUUCUGGCAUCGAUGAAGAACGCAGCGAAAUGCGAUAAGUAAUGUGAAUUGCAGAAUUCAGUGAAUCAUCGAAUCUUUGAACGCACAUUGCGCCCUCUGGUAUUCCGGAGGGCAUGCCUGUUCGAGCGUCAUUACAUCCCUCAAGCGCUGCUUGGUAUUGGGUGGUCGUCCUCCGUUCCGGGGGGCGCGCCCGAAAUUCAGUGGCGGUCUCGGUGGACUUCAAGCGCAGCAAAUAUUCCGCUUUGGAAGCUUUCACCGGUGGUCCUGCCAGCAAACCAUUUUUUACCCCCAAAAUUGACCUCGGAUCAGGUAGGGAUACCCGCUGA